Clupea harengus (Atlantic herring) is the source of this 1846-nucleotide long non-coding RNA. RefSeq lists it as uncharacterized. The transcript has 2 exons. The record is from RefSeq and is a predicted model, not a curated record. NCBI's taxonomy places the organism in Eukaryota, Metazoa, Chordata, Actinopteri, Clupeiformes, Clupeidae.
UGUGUGCUUAGGGCCAUCGUCCUCUCCCAGUCUGAGGUCUCGUUGGACCCUCUGGACCAAGUUUUAAAGAAGGAUAUCUCUGUACUUCGCUCUAUUCAGCUUUCCCUCAAACCUGACCAGUCACCUGAACAGUCCCUGCCCCUGACAAACACCCCCACAGCAUGAUGCGUUCACCACCAUGCCUCACCGUUUGGAUGGUAUUGGGCAAGUGAUGAGCGUUGACAGGUUUCUUCCAGACAUGACACAGAAUUGAAGCCAAGGUUCAAUCUUGGCUUCAACAGACCGGAAUCUUGUUACUCACAGUCUGAGUCCUUUAGGUACUUUUUUUUUGCAAAAUCCAAGCAGGCUUUCCUGUGUCUGUCACAGGAGAGGCUUUCAUCUGGCCACUCUGCUAUAAAGCCAUGACUUGGGAGUUUUGCAGUAAUGGAGCUUUCUCCAAUCUCCACACAGGAUCUCUGGAGCUCAGCCAGAGUGACCAUCAACUUCUUGGUCACCUUUCUUACCAAGGCGCUUCUCCCCGAGUUUGACUGGGUGGCCAGCUUUAGAAAGAGUCCUGGUUGUUCCAAACUUCUUCAAUUUAAGAAUUAUGAAGGCCACUGUGCUCCUGACAAUCUUCAAUGCAGCAGAAAAAAAUGUGUAGCCCUCUCUAGAUCAGUGCUUCAACACAAUCCUGUCUCUGAGCUCGGCAGGAAGUUCCUUCGACCUCAUGGCUUGGUUUUUGCUCUGAUAUGCAUUGUCAGAUGCGGGACCUUAUAUAGACAGGUGUGUGCCUUUCCAAAUCAUGUCUAAUCAAUUUAAUUUACCACAAGUGGACUCCAAUCAAGGUGUAGAAACAUCUCAAACAUCUGAAAGAUGAUCGUAAAUUUCAAGUGUCAUAGCAAAGAGUCUGAAUACUUCUGUCAAUGUGAAAAAUGUCUGAAAUCCUAUUUUCGCUUUGUCAUUAUGGGGUAUUCAGUAUAAUUGAUAAGGGGAAAAAAUAAUUUAAAUGAUUUUAGCAUAAGGCUGCAACAUAAUAAAAUGUGAAGAAAGUGAAGGGGUCUGAAUAGUUUCUUAAUGCACUGUAUGUCAAGUGCUUUGGAAGUUUUUAGGGUGGUACAUAGCGUUAUAUUAAUGUCUCCAUUAAUGUACUCAUUCAAAGUUUGAUCAAAUACCAAAAAUACUGUCUGUAUCUCAUUGGAUGCUAUUUAGUGACUGAACUCUGUCCCUUAUGUAAUUGCUGGAUUGUGUUUGUGUGUUUAGUGACCCCGAUUCUGGGGGCGAGGGUCUAUUCAUGGCUGGGAAUAUAAAGGAACAGCUCGUUCACGUAACGGGUCACGUCUAGUCCUCUCAGGGCUGUACUUGACCUCAUCAUGUUGCGGUCCGUGCUUUCCCACAGUACUCUGUGAGGUGCAUCUACAACCCCAACACAGGGACAAGUCUGCAUCAGUACAUCUGCCUGGACAUGCAACAGCGUGGGUGUUUUCUCCUUUCAAGGAUCCAGAGAGUCUGCUCAGAAAUGGACAUGUGUUGACAUGCGCUUCGAAGCGCUGCUUUCUUGAAGUCGAGUUCUGACAACAGCGGGAGUGAUCUGAAUUCUGAGUAAACCAGAACUCUGUUCCCUGAACAUAACAGCCCAGGUUAAGGAACACAUUUAAAUGUGCAUAUUCACAUUUGAAGGGUUUAAAAACUGUGAAAAUGUAUCAUUCUUAACCACUCCCAUUAUUGUUGUCAUAUCAUCUAGUUGUCAUAUCUUGUCUAGAAACUGCACAAUCAAGGGUAAGAUAUUCACACUUGUAGUGGAGAGGGCACUCUAAUAGGCCGAUCAAUAGAAUAAGACAGAACCCUCUAAGUAAUACUCACACACACU